UAGCACGAGACAUCGCCUCACACAAAGUCAAGAGAUGAAGAAAGUAUCAAACACAAUGGACAUCCGAACUGACAGCCACAACCCUGACUCUCUGCGCAGAGAGAAAUGUGUCAUGGCAACCUUGAAGCUGGGUAUGUCAGGGACCCCCUUCCAGACCUUGGUGCACCCACAAGCUGGCAGGGAGCCCAGAGCGAGGUGGGGCCUGACUAGCACCCACUGCAGGGGGCCUCCCAGGACGAACUGGAAGUUCUCUGCCUUCACCCACCGCGUCUACAUCCAAUGGCUGUUCGGAACAAUCGGGCUUCCGUCACACGGAAGCACGGGUCAGAUACGAUCGCGGGGCCACAAAACCUUCUCCACAGUCAGCGCCCACCAUGCCAGGGGACAGGACAGAAGCAGCUCAAUCUCUCCAUCGGAUCUGCUUGUCUUUCCAUCGGGGCUGCCUGGCGCCUUCCCUGUGGGACGGCCCCCGUGGCCGAGUGGACACUGGGCCUCUGUUCCUGGCUCAGGACCCACUCCCACCUGAUGGUCAGCAGGCCGAGGCCGGCCUCUCUGCCAACAACUGGCCGAGGAACCACCCACACGGCUGACAUGUGGUUUAUUACAUUUUCUUUUCAGAACUUGUGCUGAGUGGACACGGGCCAUGUCACAAGGCAAGCACUUCCAUGCCUGGGGAACGUGCUGUUUCCCCCAUGUCUCUUGAAUGAAGGAAUUAAGGAGAGUCGCCCCCCACCACCCCACCCCCCCCCCACCCCCCGCAGGAAAGCACAGACCUACCAGAUGCGUGCCUGGCUGAACUAAGCUACAGCCAUUCCCUCUCCCACUGCGUUCAGGGCUUGUUUUAAAGUGCAGCAUUGCUUCCCAAGAGAAAGCAUAAUGCGCCCUCCAUAGGAGAGCACUUUUUGGUUUGCGAGGAAACUUUGUAAUAAGUCUGUGAGUCAGACAGCAUUGCUAUACUCCUUACAUUGUUUUCCAAAUAUAGGAAAUGAGGCGUGACCACAUUUACUCCGAGACGAGGGCAAGAACCCAAACGCAGAUCUUAAACAGGUGGGUCAGGGUCCCUCCUACCCAGCCCACUACCUGGGGAGGCCAUAAAGCCAAACGCUGAAGAGUGUGGCGUCUGGAUUCACACCAAUCAGGUGAAAACCUUGGUUCUACCACUUACUGUCGUGAGCUUCACAAGUUCCUUAGCCUCUUGGCCUCCAUUUCCUCAUCUGUAAAAUGGGAAUAUUAAGAAGACUGCAAUAAAGAUUACUUGAGUAAAUAUACCUUAAAAUAUCAAACGGAUCAAUCAGUAAAUCACUCCAUAAACGUAACAUGACCUACAUGUGGGGUGGGUAUUUGUGAGCCUGUGCAAUAUCGAAGCAACACAUCAGCCAAGGUCACCAUAACGUGACGGAAAGUACGAGGCUCGAGUUCUGCUUUGUGAUGUCAUCCUGGGGAGGAUGUGUUCCUAAAAACUGAAUAUAAACGUCUUUUUAAAUGUCGUAUACCAAACUCUAGCCAGAGAGAAGCAGGCCUUGAAGACAGCCUGCGUGCUGUGGACAGCUCUGGCAGUGCACCGCAGCGAACAGCAGCCUGGGACCUACGGGUGCCCCCACCCCCGACAGCCACCAAGCUCCGGACCCUCACUGGAAUCCUGCCAACAUCCCGAAGGAGCCUGGAAGCAGAUCCUUCCUCAUCCAAGUGUCCGGAUGACGACGCAGCCUGGCCGACACCUUAACUGCAGCCUGUAAGGCCCUGGGCAGGGGAACCCUGGUUCCCUCUUACAUACAGGUUUUCCUCUUCAAAUUCACCCUUUUGCAGGCAAAUUUGCUUUGCAAAAGGGUGAAUCUGAUUCGCCAAAGGGAGAAUUUGAAGUGGAAAACCUGUAUGAGACAUGCCCAGACUCCUCACUCACAGAACCUGGGAGAUAAUGUGUACUGUGUUUGUUUGUUUUUUAAUGUAAUAAGCCAACCAUAGAGAGUAUUUUAUAAGUAAAGAAGGAAAAACUAAAAACUGGCCUGUCAUCCUUCCAUGCUGAUACAGUUGUUUUGCUGGGCAUUCUCUCCCAGUCUUUCUGAUUUACCAUGGAGUAGAUCAGAGCAGUCGUACAAUUUUACAGCCUGAGUUUUUCACUUACAUUAUCCACAUUCUCCCAUGUUACAAUGUACACAUAUAUUCUUAACAUUUAUCGUUUUUAAUGGAUGUAAAAUUUUCUAUCAAGAGAUGGAGCAAAAUUAUUUAAUCUGUUUACUAUUAUUAGACAUUCCUGUGGCCUCCAAACUUCUACCAUUAUAAAUAAAACACUAUUAUAAAAAUA
Long non-coding RNA from Myotis davidii, 2302 nucleotides. RefSeq lists it as uncharacterized. NCBI's taxonomy places the organism in Eukaryota, Metazoa, Chordata, Mammalia, Chiroptera, Vespertilionidae. The record is from RefSeq and is a predicted model, not a curated record. The transcript is spliced from 2 exons.